GCCAUGGUGGCUUCUGGAUGUUCGUCAACUUGGGCCCUAAUCAUAGUUAUCUCCAUUUCUUUAUAAUACUCUUCCACAGACCUAGAAACCCCGGGUCAAGCACUACAACUUUAGGUUCAUGUCUCUGUCAAAAUGAGCGGGCACAAACCGUUUCCUCAUGAUGGAUUCCAAUUCUCGCCAUGUGGUGAUAGACAAGCCUCCAUCUCAUUCCUAGAGAAGAGUUAACUGAUCCCACCAUACUGAGGCAUAAUUGGUAAACUCAAGGGUGGCCAACUUGAGCUUUUUCUCUUUACUAUAAUUGUGGUAACUAAAAAUGCGAUGGACCUUCGUUUCCCACUCAAGGUAGGCUUUGGGGUCAUUCUUCCCUUGAAAGGCUUGUAUUUGGAACUUGAAGCCAUGGAGGUCAUCAUCCGCCUCUUCAUGACGGCCUCCUUAUCUAUCACCAACAUCGUCACCACACGAUCUUGUCUCGUCGUACACUAUUUGGCUCUGGGCAUGACUGCGAUGCCCC
Molecule: long non-coding RNA, 511 nt
Filed under: Carica papaya (papaya)
Lineage: Eukaryota; Viridiplantae; Streptophyta; Magnoliopsida; Brassicales; Caricaceae
Description: long non-coding RNA (CPAP_LNC005801)
Source: RNAcentral